This 498-nucleotide ribosomal RNA is filed under the name uncultured bacterium. RNAcentral describes it as "bacterial SSU rRNA". It matches the Rfam family "Bacterial small subunit ribosomal RNA", at positions 17 to 518 of the family's 1533-position model. The record is from RNAcentral.
UCAUGGCGUCAGGAUGAACGCUGGCGGCGUGCCUAACACAUGCAAGUCGAGCGGAGAUAUUGAGAUGAUCUUCGAGUGAUUUCCUUAUCUUAGCGGCGGAUGGGUGAGUAACACGUGGGUAACCGUGCCCUGCACAGGGGGAUAACAGCUGGAAACGGCUGUUAAUACCGCAUAUGCACACGCUGCCGCAUGGCAGGCGGUGGAAAGAUUUAUCGGUGCAGGAUGGGCCCGCGUCGGAUUAACUAGUUGGCAGGGUAACGGCCUACCAAGGUUAUGAUCCGUAGCCGACCUGAGAGGGUGACCGGCCACAUUGGGACUGAGACACGGCCCAAACUCCUACGGGAGGCAGCAGUGGGGGAUAUUGCACAAUGGGCGGAAGCCUGAUGCAGCGACGCCGCGUGAAGGAAGAAGUAUUUCGGUAUGUAAACUUCUAUCAGCGGGGAAGAAGAUGACGGUACCCGACUAAGAAGCCCCGGCUAACUACGUGCCAGCCGCAGC